AAAUGGUUAAGGGACAAAGAUCGAACACUUCAAAUGUCCAAACAGAGUUACAAGACUCGAACGACGCAGUUACUAGUAGUGAAAUAUUGUCUGAUCGUGUAAUGAACUCGAAACUAUCUAGAGAAGAGUCAAUAGGAAAGAGAAAAGGACUUAGAAUAGAACUUCGAUGGGAUAAUUAAUUUUUUGCCAUUUGCAAACAUUAGAAGUUAGUCACUGUAGGUACAAGCGGCAGUGCUGCGGAAGCGACCAAAGCCCAGACCUGGGAAACAAGCCGCGCGGAGCAAGAUCAUCAUCAGGAUGAAAUAGCUAUCAUAAGUGAAUGUCGGCAAAAAUAGAAAUAAAAACAAUACCCAGUUCCAGUGGCAGUUCUUUCGAAAGCCAAGUGAAAAUUAGUACGAAGCUACCUGCCAAUUGUGCACACGGGAAUCGCAGUGGUCGGCUUGUGGGAACUUCGGCCUGUUAGGUGCGACCAACGAAAGCAUCAUCAAAAUGCUACGAGAGACAAUCUGGCACCAUGGCCUACCCCACGAAAAUAGAACCUCUUCAGUGCACUAAUGCAUUUCGAUACGAAUGACCGCCUUCGUGUAUAGAGCCAGUGUUGGAAGCCAUGUUUACGGUACUCUUUGUUGGUUUAGAGGUAUUCGGAGUCAUCGUCGAUGAAGGCUAAUACUGUGUAUAAAGUGUUACCUCCCGCCGGAAUGAACGUGCUUCAUGGGCUUCUAUAGGAUAAGACGGAGUUGGUGGGGAACUCAGUGAAGUUUGAGUGUUAUCUUCAUACAAAAAGUUUUGCGGGAGCUAAAUUGAAAUUGCAAAUCCGCCAGUAACCGUAUGUACGCUAAAUGGGCCUUAAUGUUUUGAGCUCUCCGCUUGCAACUGCCUUCGGUUCUGCCCCUUUUCCAGCACAAAAACGCGUGUCUUCGCUCUAUGUCAAAUUCAGGCCGCAUCAUUUUGUAUAUAGUAAUGGGACACGUCACUAACUACUAUCACGACCACAACCGCUUCAAGAUGAUGUACAGCGUUAAUGGGAGAGCAAGUUACCAAUGCAUUGCCAGUGGGUCAAUCUGCAUAGAACUUGACGAACCCUAACUUACCUAAAAAAAUAACCUCUUAGAAAGAUUGUCUGCGCAAUGGUAGGGCAAAGGCUUCUACUGUAUCUGCCGUUAAUUGAUGUAGCAUGAAAUGUUCUCGGUGGAGUUUAACGUCACGCAACGGUUCCCCGCUAAUCGUUACCUGUCGACAUCUGUCCCUAAGAUGGGCCGAUCAUUGGAACCUCGAGACAUUCGUUAGGGGGUUACCCAGUGCAAAAUACCUUCCCGGCAGAAGGGUUACUGCUGCAAGUACUCCUGAAGGGCGUCGCCUGCUCCUCCUAAUGUGAUCGGAUGCACCUGAAAAGGGAGGCGUGAUUGAUCACAUCAUCAGAGUCGCGAUCUGAGCAGUCUCGAAGGGAGAGACCGGGAAGGAGUCAGGGGCUGUGAUAGUGGGUUAAUAUAUGGAGAUGGAGUGUGAGGUACAAAGAAUGGAAAAUGGUGCCAGUAAAAAAGAAACACAAACGAGAAGCUGCUAGAGUUUUUGCGGAUAUGUAAUUGACGCAAAUGUCGUUGCGAUACCGAUGAGUUUGACUGUGUCUGCAAGAGCUAGAUAGAUGAGGAAAAACCAAGCGUAAGAACACCUAGUGAGCUAUGAAUCUAGAUUUCGAACAAGAUAUAAUCACGUAGUUAAACAGUAGCACUAGAAAGAGCCGUCAGCCGUCUGGGAUAGGUAAGCUAAUAAUCCCAACGUAUUUGCCUAGAUAGCGGAACAUAGAACGGAGCGAGUUUAACGUUAGUCUUCAUGGCCGACAUUGUAAAGACUAUUGUCUAACUAUUAGAGUAGCAUGUUUAUAUUUGCUAUCACUGCUCUCUUACCAUACGUAGCGUUUUGUCAAAUACAAUGAGCUACUUAGGUGUUUUAUUGCGUGGAGCAUUGACUUCUUGAUUGGUGUCGGUCCGCAUCGUAAACACACAGUGCACAGGCAGUAGUAAAGGUGCUCACUGUUGUCUAUUAGGUCUUCAAUAAUUUUUAUAUUACCACCUGAA
RNAcentral lists this long non-coding RNA (2075 nucleotides) under Varroa destructor (honeybee mite). Its description in RNAcentral is "uncharacterized LOC111244548". Lineage: Eukaryota; Metazoa; Arthropoda; Arachnida; Mesostigmata; Varroidae. The record is from RNAcentral.